RNAcentral lists this ribosomal RNA (252 nucleotides) under uncultured bacterium. RNAcentral's name for it is "partial 16S ribosomal RNA". It matches the Rfam family "Bacterial small subunit ribosomal RNA", at positions 524 to 776 of the family's 1533-position model. The record is from RNAcentral.
UACGGGGGGGCAAGCGUUGUUCGGAAUUACUGGGCGUAAAGGGCUCGUAGGCGGCCAACUAAGUCCGACGUGAAAUCCCUCGGCUUAACCGGGGAACUGCGUCUGAUACUGGAUGGCUUGAGUUUGGGAGAGGGAUGCGGAAUUCCAGGUGUAGCGGUGAAAUGCGUAGAGAUCGGGAGGAACACCAGUGGCGAAGGCGGCUACCUGGACCAGCACUGACACUGAGGCACGAAAGCGUGGGGAGCAAACAGG